UACGUAGGGUGCGAGCGUUAAUCGGAAUUACUGGGCGUAAAGCGUGCGCAGGCGGUUCGUUGUGUCGGCGGUGAAAGCCCCGGGCUUAACCUGGGAAUGGCCGUUGAAACUGGCGAACUGGAGUGUGGCAGAGGGGGGUGGAAUUCCGCGUGCAGCAGUGAAAUGCGUAGAGAUGCGGAGGAACACCGAUGGCGAAGGCAGCCCCCUGGGCUGACACUGACGCUCAGGCACGAAAGCGUGGGGAGCAAACAGG
This 253-nucleotide ribosomal RNA is filed under the name uncultured bacterium. RNAcentral's name for it is "partial 16S ribosomal RNA". It matches the Rfam family "Bacterial small subunit ribosomal RNA", at positions 524 to 776 of the family's 1533-position model. The record is from RNAcentral.